This is a non-coding RNA of Rattus norvegicus (Norway rat), 10553 nucleotides long. The record is from RefSeq and is a predicted model, not a curated record. NCBI's taxonomy places the organism in Eukaryota, Metazoa, Chordata, Mammalia, Rodentia, Muridae.
CCCCCCAUUACCACCCCCCCAACAAUCAUGUUCACUGGGGGUUCAGUCUUAGCAGGACCAAGGGCUUCCCCUUCAACUAGUGCUCUUACUAGGCUAUUCACUGCUACCUAUGAGGUUGGAGCCCAGGGUCCAUCCAUGUAUAGUCUUUGGGUAGUGGCUUAGUCCCUGGAAGCUCUGGUUGGUUGGCACUGCUGUUCAUAUGGGAUUUCGAGCCCCUUCAGCUCUUUCAGCCCUUUCUCUGAUUCCUUCAAUGGGUGUCCUGUUCUCAGUUCAGUGGUUUGCUGCUGGCAUUUGCCUAUGUAUUUGCCGUAUUCUGGCUGUGUCUUUCAGGAGCUUCCUUUCACUUUUAAAGAUAUACUAUUUUUAUUACUUCAUUGAGAAUUUCACACAUGUAUGUGAUUUUUUAGUUAAAUUUACCCCCACUCAUUCCUUCUUGUUCCUCCUAGACCUCCAUGCAUUCUUCCUUUCUUUCCUUAUUAAAAUAACCUAUUAAGUCCAAUUUAUACUGCCUAGAAGGUCAUGGGUGUUGGGCUAACCACUGGAGAAUGGUUGUUCUACCAGCAGCCAUAGGCUUAAGGAAAACCGACUGUUUCUGUCACAGAAGCCACCAAUUGACAGGAACUUUUCAGCUUGCCUCUCCUGUGAUGGCCCCAGAGCCUCAGUAUGAUGUAGUUGCCCUGUCAGUCCUGUUGGCUUGAUUUCUUGCUUAUGGAUUUCAAAUUAGGUCUUUAGUUGAAUGAUGGAUUGCCGAGUGUGCAUCCUGACUCUGCAACACACAGUUUGACAUUGUACCAUAUGCUCUUUGCUAGUAUAGAGCAAGGAGGCCAUGUACGUGUGUGUGGUCCCUUCAGUUCCACAGGUGCUGGCUGAGGGCAUGGAUCUGAGAUGCAGUCAAUCCUUUGCUCUCUAAGCUGUCCCCAGGGGCACAGGCCUGCAUUCUGUAUCUCCUCCUCAAGCAAAGUUGACAUCUUUUCUAGCUCCGGCACCUGGACAGAACCUGUUCUAAUGCUGACCUGUGGCUAGCAUGUUUUUUCUUUUCUCUCUCCUUCUUUCUCUGUCCCUCCCUUUUUCUCUCUCCCUCCCCCUCUCUCUCACAGAGGCAUAGGUUAGACUGAAAGUAGAAGAGGGAAUUGGACAAGUACUUUCUAAAAAGGUUGAGCAAAUGCCCCACUGAUGGCACAGGUAGAGGAGAGAGGGUGAUCUAACUGGUCCACUUGUCUCUACUUCUGCAUUCCCUCUCAGCAUCCCCAGAGUCUACAGUACAUAAAGCAGCCAUAUAAAGACUUCACGUUCUUUCCUUCUUUCUUUCUUUCUUUCUUUCUUUCUUUCUUUCUUUCUUUCUUUCUUUCUUCCUUCCUUUCUUUCUUUCUUUCCUUCUUUCUCUCUUCCUCUCUUCCUUCCUUCCUUCCUUCCUCCUUUCUUUCUUUCUUUCCUUCCCCCCUUUCUUUCUUUCUUUCUUCUUCUCUUUCUUUCUUUCUCUCUUCCCUUCUCUCUCUCCCUUCCUUUCUCUUCCUUCCUUCCUUCCUUUCUUCCUUCCUUUCUUUCUUUCCUCCUUUCUUCCUUCCUUUCUUUCUUUCCUCCUUUCUUUCUUUCUUUCUUCCUUCCUUCCUUUCUUUCUUUCUUUCCUUCUUUCUCUCUUCCUCUCUUCCUUCCUUCCUUCCUUCCUUCCUCCUUUCUUUCUUUCUUUCUUUCCUUCCCCCCUUUCUUUCUUUCUUUCUUUCUUCUUCUCUUUCUUUCUUUCUCUCUUCCCUUCUCUCUCUCCCUUCCUUUCUCUUCCUUCCUUCCUUCCUUUCUUCCUUCCUUUCUUUCUUUCCUCCUUUCUUCCUUCCUUUCUUUCUUUCCUCCUUUCUUUCUUUCUUUCUUUCUUUCUUUCUUCUCUCUCUCUCUCUCUCUCUCUCUCUCUCCCUUCCUUUCUCUCUCUCCCUUCCUUUCUCUCUUUGUUUCUUUCUUCUUCCCUUUCUUCUAAGACUGUGAACGUUUUCUGAUCGUCUUGGAUGGAUACGCACUAAAGGCUGAGGGAUGCUAUUAAGAGCUUAGCUAGCAAAGCAAACUAAGCAGUUCGAGGUGACACAUGUUCAAGCAGCAUUCGCCUCAUGUCUACUGAGGGACAUAGCAGGGCCCUGGAUUUAUUCUAGGCGCAGGAGAAUGGGAUGACAGUGGUACCCGCACUCUUCUUUGAGAACCCCUGGCUCAGCAGAAGACAUCAACGAACCAUGAGACGUUCCGUGGAAAUGAGUCGCUGUAUGCAUCUAGGCCCAAAGACCAUAACCAAUACUUGGAGAGAUUUGUGUUGCUGCUCCUGAUAAUUGUACAUUAUAGAGUAUCCUUCCCGUUACAAGUGCUGCUAGAAGUUAGAACCAAUGUAGUCAUAUCAUGUGAAACACCAGGCUGAUUCGCCAGUCCGUUUUCUUUCACAAGUAGGUCUUAAAAAACACUUGGUAGUGUCUACUGUGUACUGAGUGCCAGAGAUUGCAGAUGAAAGCAGAAUUCUUUAAGAAAAAUUUAGAAGUUCUACUACAAAAGAAAGAGGAAGGGAGGAGGUGAGGGGAAGAGAAACAGAGGGAGGGGACUGAAUAAAUGAAGGCCUAAGGGAAGGAAGGGAGAAGGGGAAGGAUGGGAAGUCUCUUCCUGGGGAUCCUGGUUUGUGAGGAAAUGUGGUAGGUGUUGAUGGUGUCAUUUAAGCCUCUGUCCUUGCCUGGCUUUUGUCCUUCGCUCUGCAGAAGUGUGAAGGACAAAAGAGUCCCAAGGCCACUUCACACAGAACCCAGAAGGCUCUGCCAGAGACUCCUCUGCAUGCAGACAUGGCGUACCCCCAGGGAACAGGCAGAUGACAAAGCAAUGCUGGCCCAGCUUCUAAGCUUUACCCCACAAGCCUGAGGUCUAUUAGUGAAGUGGAGACAAUUAACAGUUCUAUCUUCUUCAUUGUUGUAAUUACAGCAACAGCUCUGGUACAAAUUAUGAAUCAUUUACUCUUUGAGCAAUUAACACCAAGGGAACCACUGGGGGCGGGUGCAAGAUGGCAUCUCAUGAUGCUGACAGAACUGAGGAGUCUCAGCUCCAGAUGGAGGAGGCUUUGCUUCAUGGUGCCAUAGAAGCAAGAGUUUCCUUCUUUAUAGAAAUGGGGGCUCUCACACCCCUGGAUGAGCAUGACUCACAAGAUCAAUGUGGCCCCCAUGUUGUACAUACUACUGUUAUGAGAAUACACCUGCAAAGUGACCGUGGCGAUUAGCUAGCAAGGACCUUAAAUGAAAUUACCCAUAAGGCAUUGUCCCUAGGUAUUUAACCAAAAGCAUUUUUGAUAGCUCUCUAAUUUGUCGCUUGGAGGUAGUCAAUAGAUUUUUCUCUGUAAUAGAUGCUGUGUUCCAAAUAUUAAAGUCUCUUAAAGUUUGCAUUGAAAUUCUACUCGCAAGCAAUUAGAAGGAUAAGGGAGGUCAAUAGACUAUGAAGGGGAGCCCUCACACUGGGAUCGGUACCCUGACUUAAGAGAUCCCAGAUAGCAGGCUACCUCUCCCAUUAUAUGAAGACACUGGGAAGGUGUUGCCUAUGACACAGGCCCUCAAAGGACACCACAUCUAUUGGAGCUUUGGUCUUGGACUCCUUAGGUCCCAGAACAAUGAGAAACAAAACUACUGUUGUUCAUAAGCCACUAGUUUGGUGGCACUUCGUUAAUUGUAAUCCUGUAAGCACCAAAGUAAUAGGUAUUACGUACAAUUCAGUGCCUCAAAGAAAGUAACCAAUCGUAUUGUCUGUAGCAACAUGGGGGUAACCAAGAAAUUAUCUCAAAUCUUGCCAUUGGCUUCAGAUCUCUCAAGUGUUGCCUCUUCCUCUGGUAUAACUCAUGCUACUGCAAAUGACAGAAAUACAGGCUUAAAUGGACUUAAACACAGUUGGGAAUCUCAUCUCUAGAAGGCUGUUAAAGCUGAUUUUCUUUGACUUGAACUGGAAUUAUACUAUCUCUGCUCUAGAAUUAGCUGAAUUUUCUGUUGGAUUUAUUUCUAGGCUCUGAGUAAUACCCCCCAGAAGUUCCGAUCCAUCCACUCACAAGGGCAGAUCCAUUCAAGUUGAGCAAACAUUUGAUCUAGAACUUCAUUCCAAAUACCUCGAAUUCGUCAUGGUUAGGCCAGCAUAGGUCUGAAUGAGCUAAGGAAUACAGAUGACCUCCUUUGACUUUUGCACAAGACUAAGUAUCAGUUCUUGAACUCUGUGGGACUCUGAGAGUCAGAGAAGAUGGAGCACCACCAAGAAAGCAGCAAGCUCAUGGUCCUGAGAAUCAACACUCUCAUGAGAGUUACCUUAGAGCAGCAGUUCUCAACCUGUAGGUCAGGACCCUUUGGGGGUCAAUCGACCCUUUCACAGGGUUCACCUAAGACCGUCAGGCAUAUCAGAUAUUUAUAUUAUAAUUCACAGCAAUAGCAAAAUUACAGUUAUGAAGAAGUAAUGAAAAAAUUCAACAUAAGGAACUGUAUUAAAGGGUCACAGCAUUAGGAAGGUUGAGAACCACUGCCUUACAGUCAAUCUUGUUGUAGAAAAUAUUUAAUCUCAAUCCGGGGCUUCUACUCUGUCUUUGAUCAUUUAGUUCCAUGAUAAAAGACACCCAAGUUUCAUUAUUUACAAUAAACCUUAGUCAGCUCUAGAGCUGGGGGGACAUCUACCCUCUAUGCUCUAAGAACCCACUUUCCUAUUGGGAACCCCAAGUUAUUACUAUGUUUCAUCUGGAUCACUCUUAAGUCCAAUUGGCCAGCCCUCAGGGCCAUGCUUUCUUGACUCCUAACCCAUGGCGUCGCUCUCCUCUCUCCACCUUCUCUCUCCUCAUGGUCUCUUCCGACCCCAAGGCUGAGAACACCAAACCCUACCUUUCUCAAUUCUUCCCAGCUAUAGGCAGUCAGCAUCUUUAUUCACCAACCAGAAAUGACUUGGGAGACAAGGUCACACAUAGUGUCACUUGGAUCUAUGUGCAGAUUAUCAUCUCUAGGGCAACCAGGUCUUAGGAGCCUGCACUUAGCAUCGCAACAUAGCAACAGACUAAACCUCAUCCAAAUCUCAAUUGCCCUGCACAACUCUGCACAAUAUGGCUCCUCUAGGCAUGGUCUGGAGCUGAUAGAAUGAACAGUUUGAGAUGUUCCUUUCAUUUCCUCCCAUCAGCCUCCGGGAGUCUUCCUAAAUUUGACCUCCAACCCCCUGACAUCCUUAGAAAGCAGCUACAGCCAUAAAUCUGAGGUGAGAACUCGAGGAGUAAACUAACGGGUAAUCAGCAGGGUUGUCUGAAAGAGGUGAUUUGACAGUCACUCACACUCCCCGGAGCACAUGAAGCAGAGUCUAAGCAGAUAUUUUCGCCACAGGAAUUUUGGCAGACAGCUAAAUGGUGGCUCUGUAAAUACAUCUCUGUAUACAUGAGGCUGGUAAGUAGGCCUGCUGUAUACAUGAGGCUGGUGGGCCUGUUGUAUACAUGAGGCUAUGUGUUGAGUGCUUUGUUAAUGCAUUUGUUCCUCACUAAGGUCUACCAGAGAAGACACAAUCAUCUACAUCAUUCAGGUAAAAAGACUGCUAGCCAGCAUAGGCCGAGGAAUUUCUGGAUCCAUAACAAGCAAGUGUGCAGCCAGGAUUCAAGCCCUGCACUGUCAACUCCUGAGCUGGGGUUAGCCAGCUUGCUUUAGCCUCCGUCCCUUCUUCCAAGAUUGUACACAACACAGCAUUCUCUCGGCUCACCCAUCCGAUCUGAGUCUUUUCUCUAUGACAACGGCAUGCUCCUUGCAGUAGGAAACUGGUUCUAAGGAUUUCCGGGACAUUAGCUGAGUUAGACAACUGAUCACAGAAGAAGGACCCGUGGUUGUAUACUUGGAGAUGAGUUUUUAGUGGAGGAGGAUGUAUUUCUUGGACUCCUUUAGAUCCAGUCUUCGCACUCAUCAUGAGUCUGGUGGUUGGCUAGGAAGACACCACUCAGCUCCCCACCUGCCUGGCUCCCUCACGAUAGUGAAGUGACACACUGAGAAGCCGCUCUGACUCAUUCCUGGAGUCUGUCCACGCCAGCUCCUGCCACCCCCGCUCCAUGGAGACCACACUUAUUAAGAUCUCUGAAGAUCCUUGCUCCUAAACCCAUGUGGAAAUUCUUCUUCACGGUCUCCAUGGUGCUUGGAGCACUCCAUGAUGCCUAAUAUUAUCUUUAGAAAGCUCUGGCUGGCUAAGGUAUUUCUAUGAUAUUCACUGUCAUGUGUGUUGUCUAGGACUGCGAAUCACGUUAGUGACAGAUCAGUCCCCAGUACAUUCAAUGUAUAGGAAUCCCAUCGGUUUGGACAUUUGGUUUACAUGUAGUGUGUGACCUAAGAAAUGUGUAGGAUGCUUGGUCCAUGGCAGGACUGAGGUGGUAGAAACUUUGGAUGUGGGACCGAGUAGAAUAUGCCUGCUGCUUCUUGAGUGUGUCCAGACUCUUAGGAAUAAAUCCAUACCCCCAGGUAGUUAUAAGAAGACAGAUCAUGACUCCAUCGUGGCUUCUCCUUGCCUGCACAUAAUCCCCUUCCCCAUGAGACCAGCUCCCUUCCUGUUUCCCCCUAGGCCGGGAUGCAGCCAAGAUGCUAAUACCAUGCUGUUUGGACUCUCUAGUCAGGAAAAUGGUGAACUAAAUGAGUCUCUUUCUAUCACCCACAUUUAGGUAUUUUUUUUUUUUUUGGUUCUUUUUUUCGGAGCUGGGGAUCGAACCCAGGGCCUUGCGCUUCCUAGGUAAGCGCUCUACCACUGAGCUAAAUCCCCAGCCCCCACAUUUAGGUAUUUUAUGGGAGGAACACAAAAGGCACUUAGAGGGUUUUAGUAUCCCACAGUUUUUAUAAAUGAUCUGAUUUCUUGACAGUUAUCAACCUAGAACCUUUGGUAAGGAGGUCACCGUCAUUACUCUCUAUCCCAUAUAAACAGUGAGUGUUGAGCUUGGGUGUACAGAGAGGCUUCGGCAGCAAGUUAAGGUGUCUCCUCGCCUUCACAACAGUAAGUCACAGCGUUUUGAUUGUGGUGGAGGCUAAUCACGUCAUAGCUUGGUUGGCACCUUAGCUAUAAUCUCUCAUCUUGCACCUUCAUUUAAAUAUCUCCGUACGUUCCUUGCUCCUAGCCCUUUCUUUCAUUUUAAAAUUUCUUUUCUCUUUGUUAGUUUUCUUUCCUUCUCACUCCCCCUAACCCCCGCCUCUUUCUUUUGAUAGCGUCUCAUGUAUCCCAAGCUGGCCUCACACGUCCUAUGAAGCAGAAGAUGACCUUGAAUUUCAGAUCCACCUGUCUUGACCUCUCCAGUGUCAGGAAAACAAACAGAAGCCACCAGCCUUGUUUAUAUGAUACUCGGGGAUCAAAUCCAAGACAUUUGCAUGUUAACCAGCACUCUGCCAACUGAGCUACGUCUUCUGCUCUGUUGAUGCCCAGACGGGAAAACAGAAGUCACACUAGUUACUCCAACACAGAGAGACUUUAGUAAAUCAUUAGGAGACUGACUCCUUCAAGCUGUGGUUGUCCAGGCUUCAAGACCAGCUGGAUCUGGGGAAGAUUCCCACAAUCCGAAGAGGUUGAAGCAGAUUUUGGGGUACAAAUGGCAUCUCUGGCAGAAAUUGGGUGUCUUUUUGUGGUCCUUGUUCCUAUCAGACGAGUCCUUGUACCCCAAUCAUGCCAUCUCUGAUCCUUGUCUCCCAUGCCAGCAGAGUUAAAUCUAUGCCUACUUGGGGGAUAAUCUCUGAGUUUUCUUACUACCUCCCUCUGGGCCCUCAACUCUGUCAUCAACUGGAUUACCAAUUUCCAAGGUUUAAUUCCUUCUCAUAAAUAUGUACGUGGUUUCUGUCUUCCUGGUCCCACCGGCCCCACCUGGCCUGUAUCAAUGGGGACUUUCAGAAUCCCCUCCAUACCCAUCCUGGUUUCACUAAAAAAAAAAAAAGCAAAGUCCUGGCUAGCUUCUCAGAUGUCUAUACUGCUGGGUCAGGCCAGCAAAUCCUACUGCCCACUGAAUGUCAGCUGAAUUACGGGCUUCAGAUGAUCCUCUAGUUAGAAAACUACCCAGAUUCAGGGGAGAAAUGUCCAAGUGUCUCCUCCUCCCAUGAUAAGCUAUGCUGGGGGUGGGGAAGAAGAAAUACAGUAAGGAGUAGAGACACACACACACACACACACACACACACACACACACACACACACGUGCGCACACACACGUAACACCACAGGCCCUUCGUCAUAUAAGAUGAGAAGAAGUUGCUAUCUACCUGUAAAGCAGUGGGUCCUGGAGGCUGGGCAAGGCAGGGAAGGAGAAUGGAGAGAAGGCUGCAGCAGGUGCAGGAGUCCAGUUGAGCUGGAAGAUCAAAGUCUCAUGUCCUAUGGAAGCAGGGUCACAGUGGUUGACAAUGGUGUGCUUCUCGUGGGGAGGAUUUGGAAUGCUCCUGACAUAAAGAAACCGUGGAUGCUGGAAGAUGGUGUGCCAGUCACCUUGGUCUGACCAUUACACCACUUGGUAGAACUUUCUUCCCUUUUCCAGACUCCAGCACCCAUCUCAGGCCUCAUUAACACCCGUCAGUACCCUGUGGAGCCUCCUUUUGUGACCCCUUGCUGUGUGAACAAUCACCAAGUAAGUGCAUUACACAGACAACCCAAAACAGAUAUGAAACAGACUGGUGCCUUCAAGUAGGAAUGGCUCAAAGCGAAGCAGGAUCAAGCUCCCACCAAACGAACAGCAGAAACUACACAGAAACAUUAACCCUGAUUUUAUGUUACCUUCAACACAAGGGAUUAAGGUGGAGACUGACUCCCUGCCUGCAGUCUUUGCAACGCCCUGGUGAGCUUUUAUUUUGCUUGUUUGAAAUAUUCCCACGGUCCCUUGUCACUUUUUCUUUUCAGGACCAUUCAGCUUCAGGGUUAGAGAGAGCUCAGUGGUCCCAGUUUGAAAUUGGCAGCGUUGGAGAAGAAAUACGUCUCUCUGUGGAUUGGACAGCGCCCCAAUUAAGGAAACAGUGUGUCCUUUCACGAGUCUGCAGCGCCCUGAACACUAUUUUGAUUCUGUUGCUAAGAUUCUGACAGUAUCUUGUACAAUCUAAUCUAGCACUGAGUUUUCUUUCUUGUCUCUUUAUGCUGAGUUUAUGGGAUAGAAUCUUGUGUAAAAGGCCUGGAUAUGAGAAAGAAUGGCUGUGGCCAUUUUUUUUCCCCAUAGAAACUAAGAAAAAUGGUCACAUGACCAAACACUCAAGUAAAGAAGUCUACUUAAUGUCAGACCUUCCAGAAUGAAGCAUCUGAAGUAAUAUGUCUCAUUUGGAGAGUAAUACCCCACAAGAAGUGUGUGUGUGUGUGUGUGUGUGUGUGUGUGUGUAUGCACACUUGUGCAUAUGUAUGUUGCUAGAGGUCAAACCCAUGACUUGCUACAUACUAGACAAGCACUCCACACUUGAGCUGUACCCAGAGAGCCUCUCCAUGGGUGCUUCAAUCUUGAAACAUUUUUAUACCAGGCUUGAAGUCACUUUCUCGGUCACAGUUGCUAUCUGACUUGAGAGAAGGCAGCACCCUCAUAGUGAUUCACUUGGCAGAGAGAGGUUUGCUGUCUCUUCUUCCAAUAAAUCGUUGUUGAGGAUCAGUAAGUAUGCCAGGCAAUAUAGUAGGUACUAGAAGUGCAUUAAUAAACAAAAUUAAUUAGUCUGUCCUUCUAGAAAUUAUAAGUGUGUUUGUACAAAAAAAUUAGCCAAGACAGACUCUCUCAGAUGUGCAUGUAUACAUACAUGUAUAUGUAGUUGUUAGAAUGAGAAAUGUCUCCCAUAGAAGGCAUUUGAGCACUCAGUCCUUGGCAGGUUCAGAAGGUAAACUCUUCCUGGAGGACAUAUGGAGGUCGCUUUUGAGAGGGCAGAGCCUCACCCUUGUUCCAGUUUGUGUCUCUCUGCUUUGUGUUUGAGGUAACGUGACCUCUCAGCUUUCUGCUCCUACUGCCCCGAUGUCCUCUUAGCCCUCUGUAUCCAUAAAUCUAAGUAAGUUGCCUUGGUCAUGGUUGCAAAAGAAUAACUAAUACAGUAUAUGUGCUAUCAUGUAUCAUAUCUGUUAGAAUAGUAUAUAUAUUAUCUAUUAUUUAUGUAUGAAUGGAUGUGUUCUGGUUAAUUUUCAUCACUAACACAACCUUGAGUCACCAGAGAAUAGGAAGCCUCAAGCUGAAGAACUGAAUCUGUCAGGUUGGCCUGCAGCUAUGUCUGUGAAAGGCAAUCUAGACAGACAAUGGGUGUGGGAGAGAGAGAAGGACCAUCCCACUCUAGGCGGUACCAACCCUAGGCAGCCAGGGCUCUCUCUGUCUAAGAAAGCUAGCUCAGCAGAUGAAGGCUAGGCUGGACCAAAAUUACAAGAAGGCUAUCCCAAGGCUAUCCCAGUUAGCCUGUACCAGAAAGCAACUGAGCCAACAAGUGGACUUCCUCCAUGGUUUCUGCUCCAGUUCCUGUCCUGACUUCCCUCUGUGAAAGACUGGGUGUGUAAGCUGAAAGUCUUCUUCCCCAACUUGCUGUUGGUCAGAGGGUUUUAAUUUUGCUGCUGUUUUCGGUUUACCACAGAAAUAAUAAAACAAGACUAGUUCGUGUUCU